This 250-nucleotide ribosomal RNA is filed under the name uncultured bacterium. RNAcentral describes it as "partial 16S ribosomal RNA". It matches the Rfam family "Bacterial small subunit ribosomal RNA", at positions 524 to 773 of the family's 1533-position model. The record is from RNAcentral.
UACGUAGGGGGCAAGCGUUGUCCGGAAUCAUUGGGCGUAAAGCGCGUGUAGGCGGCCACGUUAGUCCGUUCUGAAAGCCCGGGGCUCAACCCCGGGAGGCGGAUGGAUACUGCGUGGCUCGAGUCCGGAAGAGGCGAGUGGAAUUCCUGGUGUAGCGGUGAAAUGCGCAGAUAUCAGGAGGAACACCAAUGGCGAAGGCAGCUCGCUGGGACGUGACUGACGCUGAGACGCGAAAGCGUGGGGAGCAAAC